RNAcentral lists this ribosomal RNA (509 nucleotides) under uncultured Glomus. Its description in RNAcentral is "SSU rRNA". It matches the Rfam family "Eukaryotic small subunit ribosomal RNA", at positions 569 to 1081 of the family's 1831-position model. Lineage: Eukaryota; Fungi; Glomeromycota; Glomeromycetes; Glomerales; Glomeraceae. The record is from RNAcentral.
AGCAGCCGCGGUAAUUCCAGCUCCAAUAGCGUAUAUUAAAGUUGUUGCAGUUAAAAAGCUCGUAGUUGAAUUUCGGGGUCAAUAAGUUGGUCAUGCCAAUGGUAUGUACUGGCUUUAUUGAUUCCUACCUCUUGACGAACUGUGAUGCCAUUAAUUUGGUGUUGCAAGGAAUCAGGACUGUUACCUUGAAAAAUUAGAGUGUUUAAAGCAAGCUUACGCUUGAAUACAUUAGCAUGGAAUAAUGAAAUAGGACGUUUGAUCCUAUUUUGUUGGUUUCUAGGAUCGACGUAAUGAUUAAUAGGGAUAGUUGGGGGCAUUAGUAUUCAAUUGUCAGAGGUGAAAUUCUUGGAUUUAUUGAAGACUAACUACUGCGAAAGCAUUUGCCAAGGAUGUUUUCAUUAAUCAAGAACGAAAGUUAGGGGAUCGAAGACGAUCAGAUACCGUCGUAGUCUUAACCAUAAACUAUGCCGACUAGGGAUCGGAUGAUGUUAAUUUUUAAUGACUCAUUC